GGCCUGGGGCACCAUACCGUGUCAUCGAGUUCCCUGCCUCGGAGAUAAAGAUUCCAGCUACAUGGGUAAACGCCUGGAUCAGCCACAAAUGUACCCCCAGUACACUUACUACUAUCCUCACUGUCUCUAAACCAAGUCACACAGAGAGAAAGAGAGGCACAGGCAGAGGGAGAAGCAGGCUCCAUGCACCGGGAGCCCGACGUGGGACUCGAUCCCCAGUCUCCAGGAUCGCAACCUGGGCCAAAGGCAGGCGCCAAACCGCUGCGCCACCCAGGGAUCUCCACAAACAGAAAAUUCUUUAGAACUCUGGAGAGGCAAUCAUUCAUCAUAUAGGUAAAAAUAAUGGCAUUGCUUCUGCCUUCCUGGAGCUUAUGGGCUGGGAAAGACAUAGAAGGUCUUUACUUCUCAGAGAUACUGUUUCUCUUUAGUUCAUGUCAAUAAAUCUCCCUGAAUCAUUUCAAUGAA
Molecule: long non-coding RNA, 465 nt
Organism: Canis lupus familiaris (dog)
Lineage: Eukaryota; Metazoa; Chordata; Mammalia; Carnivora; Canidae
Exons: 2
Source: RefSeq, a predicted model, not a curated record